This 910-nucleotide ribosomal RNA is filed under the name uncultured bacterium. Its description in RNAcentral is "bacterial SSU rRNA". It matches the Rfam family "Bacterial small subunit ribosomal RNA", at positions 33 to 917 of the family's 1533-position model. The record is from RNAcentral.
ACGCUGGCGGCGUGCCUAAUACAUGCAAGUAGAACGCACAGGAUGCACCGUAGUUUACUACACCGUAUUCUGUGAGUUGCGAACGGGUGAGUAACGCGUAGGUAACCUGCCUGGUAGCGGGGGAUAACUAUUAGAAACGAUAGCUAAUACCGCAUAAGAACAUUUACUGCAUGGUAGAUGUUUAAAAGGUGCAAGAGCAUCACUACCAGAUGGACCUGCGUUGUAUUAGCUAGUUGGUGAGGUAACGGCUCACCAAGGCAACGAUACAUAGCCGACCUGAGAGGGUGAUCGGCCUCACUGGGACUGAGACACGGCCCAGACUCCUACGGGAGGCAGCAGUAGGGAAUCUUCGGCAAUGGGGGGAACCCUGACCGAGCAACGCCGCGUGAGUGAAGAAGGUUUUCGGAUCGUAAAGCUCUGUUGUUAAGGAAGAACGUGUGUGAGAGUGGAAAGUUCACACAGUGACGGUACUUAACCAGAAAGGGACGGCUAACUACGUGCCAGCAGCCGCGGUAAUACGUAGGUCCCGAGCGUUGUCCGGAUUUAUUGGGCGUAAAGCGAGCGCAGGCGGUUAGAUAAGUCUGAAGUGAAAGGCAGUGGCUCAACCAUUGUAGGCUUUGGAAACUGUUUAACUUGAGUGCAGAAGGGGAGAGUGGAAUUCCAUGUGUAGCGGUGAAAUGCGUAGAUAUAUGGAGGAACACCGGUGGCGAAAGCGGCUCUCUGGUCUGUAACUGACGCUGAGGCUCGAAAGCGUGGGGAGCGAACAGGAUUAGAUACCCUGGUAGUCCACGCCGUAAACGAUGAGUGCUAGGUGUUAGGUCCUUUCCGGGACUUAGUGCCGCAGCUAACGCAUUAAGCACUCCGCCUGGGGAGUACGACCGCAAGGUUGAAACUCAAAGGAAUUGACGGG